Molecule: long non-coding RNA, 2137 nt
Organism: Gallus gallus (chicken)
Lineage: Eukaryota; Metazoa; Chordata; Aves; Galliformes; Phasianidae
Source: Ensembl
CCCCUGCGUGGUUGCUUAGGGUGAAUCAUUAACCAAGCACCUAAGUAUGGUGAAGCAAAAAUGUUUGUUGAGUGUCUUUGCAGACAGCAUGGAGUGGAGGCCUUCUGCAGGAGGAAUGGCUCUGCUCUCAUGCAGGAGCUGCAGCACUGCCAUCUGCUCGCUCAACCGCUUCCUCCAGCUCUACACCUCUGCUUAUGCACUGAUGGGCUGAAGCUGCUCCUGCUUUUGGGAUGAGAAAAGGGAACGGUAGAUGUAUCCUGGAGAAAGGAUUUAAGAGAUCUUUCUGUUUGCCUUGGGCUGUGAUUUCCUGUGGGCAAUGAUGGAGGAACAGCACGGUCUAGAUAAACUCUACUUAACUUGCUUAUUGGGAUGGAGGUGGAUUGGCAUUGUCCUUUUUCCAGGAGUCAAGACUGAAGAAUUACAGAAAUACUGCAGUGUUAUCAAGUGGAUCAUUUAAGCAAAUAUGGUAGGAAGGAAAGUAUCAAGGUUACCGACUGGAUUCCUGGAGCAGAUGAGUAGACCUUCAUGGCCAGACAACAGAGCAAGCUGACGAAGUCCAUGUAGCCAACUCUGCAGUCAAAACCAAAGUGCUGGGACUCAGAAGGUCUCGCUUGUUAAUUUGACUGUGUGUAAACAAAGAAAUGCUGUUGGCCCUAUUAAUCUCAGCGCAGGCCUGAGGGAUAAUGGCAGAUGACUCAUGGACCAGACACCAGUGACAACGCAUUACUCCGUGUCUGUUGGCCAAGUGCUACUGACUGAAAUCACUGGCUCUACCUCAAUUCACUGCAGCAAAGUGUCUGGUCUUGCUUGGAUUUGCUUGAGAAAUGACCUUUAUUUUUCUUAUCCACAUUCUCACCUUAUGCAGUCUCCAUGUGUGUGCCAAAGUCACCUCCCCUGCAAGGGUGGACAGAUUUAGAGAUGCUCAAAAUGGCACAGCAGGUUCACAGACAUCUCUUAUCUCCAUAAAACUCCUAGAGAGCAUCCAGAGGAGGGCUAAGAAGAUGGUGAAGGUUCUGGAGGAUUCUUUCCAACUCAAGGUAUUCUGUGAUCCUAAAAGAGGGGCAGCAGCCAGCAAGGAUGGAAUCAUCACAAAGGGGAGAAAUUGCACUUAAUGGGAGGCAGCCAGGGUGCUUGGUGCACUUAUCACACUUGCCUGCAUCAUACUGCUUUCUCCUCUGCCUCUGCUUUUCCACAUGAGGACUCUGCUACGUGAAGGCCAAGUGAGCUACUAUCUGCCAUUUUGGAUAAGAUGAUUCCUUUCGGAGAGAAAAAUAUGAAAAGGAAAAGAGAAUCCCUGCCCUGAUAUUCAUCAAGCCAGCAGGAAAAGCAUGCAGAAAAUUCUGGUAUUGUGAAACUGGUACACCUUUGCUUCCAACUCUGGCUGAUUAUUCUGAAAUUUAAUUAAGCAGCACCUUUGAGUUUUUUUUUUCUUUUCCAUUUCAUAUUAGCAAAUUAACUGUUUUACUUUGAGAAAAAGCUUAUAUGUCACAGGUGACCUCAUCUUUGGCAAACAGGUUUUUGCCACAUCUUUCUGAGAAAACAAUCUUGCAUUACUUACAAUGAGAAGUUUACCAAAACAAUUCUAGUUUAAAUCAAAAUGUAGCAAAAAUGCUUUUGUGACCUGAAAAUUCAGCUGCCAUGGGUGGACGAGCUUUAGCUAAGGCAGAGGACUGGGAACUGGGAGAAAGCGUGCCAAAGAAUGAGGUCAUGGCAGAACUCUGGCAUCCACAGUCAUGGUCUUCAAGGACCUGAGUCCUGGGGAUGGAAGGCCUACUUUUGUCAAGCAGCCUUGGGAAAAGACACACAACAGCAACCAUGCUACUGCUGGAGCUGGGGGCUUUUGUCAGAGAUCACAUAGAUGCUUGGCUCUGAGCUCUCUUGCAAGUGGGCAAGUUGUUCCACAAGCAUUCUGUGGUGUGCUGUAAUGUAUUUGUGACUUUCAUUAAUAUGUUCAGCAAUUAAUUCAGCGCACCUGCAAGAUAAAUUAGAUGUCUUCUUUCAUCAUCCAGCAUUAUGGGAAGCUGUUUUGCUGACACAGUGCAGGGAAUGGAAACAUGGCUGUCUGUGGGUUUGAUGGCCAAAACUGCAGUCAGAUCAGUGGUGCUGCAACUGGCAUGCUGUUGUGUGGUGCUGGGGG